This 253-nucleotide ribosomal RNA is filed under the name uncultured bacterium. RNAcentral's name for it is "partial 16S ribosomal RNA". It matches the Rfam family "Bacterial small subunit ribosomal RNA", at positions 524 to 776 of the family's 1533-position model. The record is from RNAcentral.
UACGUAGGGUGCAAGCGUUAUUCGGAAUUACUGGGCGUAAAGCGCGCGCAGGCGGCUCUGCAAGACAGAUGUGAAAUCCCCGGGCUCAACCUGGGAACUGCAUUUGUGACUGCAUGGCUAGAGUACGGCAGAGGGGGAUGGAAUUCCGCGUGUAGCAGUGAAAUGCGUAGAUAUGCGGAGGAACACCGAUGGCGAAGGCGGCAUCCUGGACCGGUAUUGACGCUGAGGCGCGAAAGCCAGGGGAGCAAACGGG